AGCAGCCGCGGUAAUUCCAGCUCCAAUAGCGUAUAUUAAAGUUGUUGCAGUUAAAAAGCUCGUAGUUGAAUUUCGGGACCAAUUUGUUGGUCGUGCCUCGGUACGUACUGGUAUUAUUGGUUUCUCCCUUCUGAAGAACCUUGAUGUCAUUAAUUUGGUGUCUUGGGGAAUCAGGACUGUUACUUUGAAAAAAUUAGAGUGUUUAAAGCAAGCAUACGCUUGAAUACAUUAGCAUGGAAUAAUGAAAUAGGACGUUUGAUUCUAUUUUGUUGGUUUCUAGGAUCGACGUAAUGAUUAAUAGGGAUAGUUGGGGGCAUUAGUAUUCAAUUGUCAGAGGUGAAAUUCUUGGAUUUAUUGAAGACUAACUACUGCGAAAGCAUUUGCCAAGGAUGUUUUCAUUAAUCAAGAACGAAAGUUAGGGGAUCGAAGACGAUCAGAUACCGUCGUAGUCUUAACCAUAAACUAUGCCGACUAGGGAUCGGAUGAUGUAUUUUUAAUGACUCAUUCGGCGCCUUACGGG
This 520-nucleotide ribosomal RNA is filed under the name uncultured Glomus. RNAcentral describes it as "SSU rRNA". It matches the Rfam family "Eukaryotic small subunit ribosomal RNA", at positions 569 to 1094 of the family's 1831-position model. Lineage: Eukaryota; Fungi; Glomeromycota; Glomeromycetes; Glomerales; Glomeraceae. The record is from RNAcentral.